ACGUAGGGGGCAAGCGUUAUCCGGAUUUACUGGGUGUAAAGGGAGCGUAGACGGCUGUGCAAGUCUGAAGUGAAAGGCAUGGGCUCAACCUGUGGACUGCUUUGGAAACUGUGCGGCUAGAGUGUCGGAGAGGUAAGUGGAAUUCCUAGUGUAGCGGUGAAAUGCGUAGAUAUUAGGAGGAACACCAGUGGCGAAGGCGGCUUACUGGACGAUGACUGACGUUGAGGCUCGAAAGCGUGGGGAGCAAACAG
RNAcentral lists this ribosomal RNA (251 nucleotides) under uncultured bacterium. RNAcentral's name for it is "partial 16S ribosomal RNA". It matches the Rfam family "Bacterial small subunit ribosomal RNA", at positions 525 to 775 of the family's 1533-position model. The record is from RNAcentral.